UUCCCCUGCUGGUCACUUUCCAGGAACUGUGAUGAAGAAAGACAGAUUUGUGAAGUAGCAAACACAGAUGUCUGUGACCUGGACAUGCCAGUUACCAACAAAAAACAGGAAUAAUCUUUCUAAGGUGCUAGCCAGAGCCUAAGAGUUCCUCCUCUAGUACUUGGGUUUUCUUACUCUUCCCACCAUGCAGCUGCUUGUCCGGCGUGUGGCUGACCUCCAUGUUGGAUUGAUUCAGAUGGCAUGACUGGCCUCUCCCCCUUCCCUUCCAAGUCUCCUCUUCUGAGUAGCCGGCAAGAUCUGCAGCUUGUAUGGGAUUUUACUUUUAAACUCUAAUAAAAUUCCCUUGGGCUGCUAACAAUAAAAUGAAAAUAAUAUUCUCCCC
RNAcentral lists this long non-coding RNA (382 nucleotides) under Rattus norvegicus (Norway rat). RNAcentral's name for it is "long non-coding RNA NONRATT002062". The record is from RNAcentral. Lineage: Eukaryota; Metazoa; Chordata; Mammalia; Rodentia; Muridae.